UACGUAGGGGGCUAGCGUUGUCCGGAAUCAUUGGGCGUAAAGCGCGUGUAGGCGGUCCGGUAAGUCCGCUGUGAAAGUCGGGGGCUCAACCCUCGAAUGCCGGUGGAUACUGUCAGGCUAGAGUGCGGAAGAGGCGAGUGGAAUUCCUGGUGUAGCGGUGAAAUGCGCAGAUAUCAGGAGGAACACCAAUUGCGAAGGCACGCUCGCUGGGACGUUACUGACGCUGAGACGCGAAAGCGUGGGAGCAAACAGG
Molecule: ribosomal RNA, 253 nt
Filed under: uncultured bacterium
Lineage: Bacteria
Description: partial 16S ribosomal RNA
Rfam family: Bacterial small subunit ribosomal RNA
Source: RNAcentral